Molecule: ribosomal RNA, 465 nt
Filed under: uncultured bacterium
Lineage: Bacteria
Description: partial 16S ribosomal RNA
Rfam family: Bacterial small subunit ribosomal RNA
Source: RNAcentral
CUACGGGAGGCUGCAGUGAGGAAUUUUGCGCAAUGGGGGAAACCCUGACGCAGCAACGCCGCGUGAGUGAUGAAGGCCCUUGGGUCGUAAAGCUCUGUCAAUGGGGAAGAAACAGUUUGUAGCUAAUAUCUGCAAGCCUUGACGGUACCCAUGAAGGAGGCACCGGCUAACUCCGUGCCAGCAGCCGCGGUAAUACGGGGGGUGCAAGCGUUAAUCGGAAUUAUUGGGCGUAAAGGGCGCGUAGGCGGUUUUGCAGGUCAGAUGUGAAAGCCCGGGGCUUAACCCCGGAAGUGCAUUUGAAACCGUAAAACUUGAGUAUGGGAGAGGGAAGUGGAAUUCCUGGUGUAGAGGUGAAAUUCGUAGAUAUCAGGAGGAACACCGGUGGCGAAGGCGACUUCCUGGACCAAUACUGACGCUGAUGCGCGAAGGCGUGGGGAGCAAACAGGAUUAGAUACCCGCGUAGUC